This is a long non-coding RNA of Catharus ustulatus (Swainson's thrush), 811 nucleotides long. RefSeq lists it as uncharacterized. NCBI's taxonomy places the organism in Eukaryota, Metazoa, Chordata, Aves, Passeriformes, Turdidae. The record is from RefSeq and is a predicted model, not a curated record. The transcript has 3 exons.
CCGUGCUGCGUCAUGUCGCGCCCCGGCCCCGCCGCGCCCGCAGGCCGGCCGGGAUUUGUGUUCAGAGCGCGCCGGGCAGGAUGGAAAUGAGGUUUGUUCCCCUCGCAGCCCGUGCGGGGUGAGAGCGGCUCGCAGAUCCUCGUGGGGCUGGGGAGGGACGAGCCCUGGGGCUGCGGGCAGGGAAUGUCCCCGAGCCCAGCGCUGGGAUGCCGCAGGAAUUUUGGUUCCUAUGAAACAACUGGGAAAAUAUCACCAGCCCCACAUGGGCAGGAGGUGGAACUGGAGUUUAAAAAACAACCGGGCCAACUUAAACAGGUUUCAAAGCUGCUCUGCACAAACCCAGUUUCUGCUUCCCAGCAAGGCACAGGAGGGAUCAUUUUCAGCCGAGAAAUCUGGGCAGAAAAUGAAAAUAAAACUGUUGGUUUGGUUUGGUGUAAGAACAAUGAAGAACCAGAAAGAUGGCAACGGGAAAAAGCAGGCGAUGAAGGCAAGCAGCGACAUGAACACUCCCGCUGCAGGGCUGAGCAGCAUCUCCACACUCCCCAGCUGGCAAAGUGAGUGAACUCCAUCCCCCCGGCCAGGAAAGCCGGGAAUUGCCUCGUUCCACCUCCCACCCACGGCUCUGGCAGCUCGCUCCAGCCCUGCCCAGGAAAUCCCCCUGCAGCCCGGCUGGGGCACCCUCGCAACCAGGGCUGCACAAAAUCGAAUUUAUUUUUUUUUUUUACCAAAUACCGUUGGACUACCGACAUGAAGUAGCUCUCCUUCUCCAAACUUAGAUUAUUUGCUUUAAAUAAAGAAGUGUUGAGCAGCA